UACAGGGGGUGCAAACGUUGCUCGGAAUUACUGGGCGUAAAGCGUGCGUAGGUGGUUUGUUAAGUCCGAUGUGAAAGCCCUGGGCUCAACCUGGGAAUGGCAUUGGAUACUGGCAGGCUAGAGUGCGGUAGAGGGCAGUGGAAUUCCCGGUGUAGCAGUGAAAUGCGUAGAGAUCGGGAGGAACAUCUGUGGCGAAGGCGACUGCCUGGACCAGCACUGACACUGAGGCACGAAAGCGUGGGGAGCAAACAGG
RNAcentral lists this ribosomal RNA (253 nucleotides) under uncultured bacterium. Its description in RNAcentral is "partial 16S ribosomal RNA". It matches the Rfam family "Bacterial small subunit ribosomal RNA", at positions 524 to 776 of the family's 1533-position model. The record is from RNAcentral.